AUUGAACGCUGGCGGCAGGCUUAACACAUGCAAGUCGAACGGUAACAUAAAGGAGCUUGCUUCUUUGAUGACGAGUGGCGGACGGGUGAGUAAUGCUUGGGAAUCUAGCUUAUGGAGGGGGAUAACUACGGGAAACUGUAGCUAAUACCGCGUAGAAUCGGGAGAUGAAAGUGUGGGACCUUCGGGCCACAUGCCAUAGGAUGAGCCCAAGUGGGAUUAGGUAGUUGGUGAGGUAAAGGCUCACCAAGCCGACGAUCUCUAGCUGGUCUGAGAGGAUGACCAGCCACACUGGGACUGAGACACGGCCCAGACUCCUACGGGAGGCAGCAGUGGGGAAUAUUGCGCAAUGGGGGCAACCCUGACGCAGCCAUGCCGCGUGAAUGAAGAAGGCCUUCGGGUUGUAAAGUUCUUUCGGUAGCGAGGAAGGCAUUUAGUUUAAUAGACUAGGUGAUCGACGUUAACUACAGAAGAAGCACCGGCUAACUCCGUG
Molecule: ribosomal RNA, 490 nt
Filed under: uncultured bacterium
Lineage: Bacteria
Description: partial 16S ribosomal RNA
Rfam family: Bacterial small subunit ribosomal RNA
Source: RNAcentral